This 494-nucleotide ribosomal RNA is filed under the name uncultured bacterium. Its description in RNAcentral is "partial 16S ribosomal RNA". It matches the Rfam family "Bacterial small subunit ribosomal RNA", at positions 28 to 506 of the family's 1533-position model. The record is from RNAcentral.
GACGAACGCUGGCGGCGUGCCUAAUACAUGCAAGUAGAACGCUGAAGGAGGAGCUUGCUUCUCUGGAUGAGUUGCGAACGGGUGAGUAACGCGUAGGUAACCUGCCUGGUAGCGGGGGAUAACUAUUGGAAACGAUAGCUAAUACCGCAUAAGAUUGACUAUUGCAUGAUAGUCAGUUAAAAGGUGCAAUUGCAUCACUACCAGAUGGACCUGCGUUGUAUUAGCUAGUUGGUGGGGUAACGGCUCACCAAGGCGACGAUACAUAGCCGACCUGAGAGGGUGAUCGGCCACACUGGGACUGAGACACGGCCCAGACUCCUACGGGAGGCAGCAGUAGGGAAUCUUCGGCAAUGGACGGAAGUCUGACCGAGCAACGCCGCGUGAGUGAAGAAGGUUUUCGGAUCGUAAAGCUCUGUUGUAAGAGAAGAACGAGUGUGAGAGUGGAAAGUUCACACUGUGACGGUAUCUUACCAGAAAGGGACGGCUAACUACGG